CAAGUAAAUCGCUCUAUCGCUUUUAAUAUUUUUAAGUAUUAAGGGAGGAAAGUCCGAACACCAUAGUGCAACAUAGUGGUUAAUGGCCACCAGUCGUGAGGCUAGGAAUAGUGCAACAGAAAGUAUGUACAGGUAAUGCUGUAGUGAAACCGUGUAAACUCUAUGUGGUGCAAUGUCAUGUAAACCAGCGUUUGAGGGCGGCACGCUUGAUGCUGGAGGGUAGGCAGCUAAAGUGUAUUGGUAACAAUGCACUAAGAUAAAUGAUAGAGGCUUUUUGUUUUGCAAAAAGUACAGAAUUCGGCUUAUAGAUUUACUUAAAUA
Molecule: RNase P RNA, 321 nt
Filed under: Siansivirga zeaxanthinifaciens CC-SAMT-1
Lineage: Bacteria; Pseudomonadati; Bacteroidota; Flavobacteriia; Flavobacteriales; Flavobacteriaceae
Description: Bacterial RNase P class A
Rfam family: Bacterial RNase P class A
About the family: Ribonuclease P (RNase P) is a ubiquitous endoribonuclease, found in archaea, bacteria and eukarya as well as chloroplasts and mitochondria. Its best characterised activity is the generation of mature 5'-ends of tRNAs by cleaving the 5'-leader elements of precursor-tRNAs.
Source: Rfam by way of RNAcentral